GAUGAACGCUGGCGGCGUGCCUAAUACAUGCAAGUAGAACGCUGAAGGAGGAGCUUGCUCUUCUGGAUGAGUUGCGAACGGGUGAGUAACGCGUAGGUAACCUGCCUGGUAGCGGGGGAUAACUAUUGGAAACGAUAGCUAAUACCGCAUGACAACAGUUAUUGCAUGAUAACUGUUUAAAAGGGGCAACUGCUCCACUACCAGAUGGACCUGCGUUGUAUUAGCUAGUUGGUGAGGUAACGGCUCACCAAGGCGACGAUACAUAGCCGACCUGAGAGGGUGAUCGGCCACCCUGGGACUUAGACACGGCCCAGACUCCUACGGGAGGCAGCAGUAGGGAAUCUUCGGCAAUGGACGGAAGUCUGACCGAGCAACGCCGCGUGAGGGAAGAAGGGUUUCGGAUCGUAAAGCUCUGUUGUAAGAGAAGAACGAGUGUGAGAGUGGAAAGUUCACACUGUGACGGUAUCUUACCAGAAAGGGACGGCUAACUACGUG
RNAcentral lists this ribosomal RNA (495 nucleotides) under uncultured bacterium. Its description in RNAcentral is "partial 16S ribosomal RNA". It matches the Rfam family "Bacterial small subunit ribosomal RNA", at positions 28 to 507 of the family's 1533-position model. The record is from RNAcentral.